AUCCGCACGAGCGCACCCCUACCGUCUGUUGCCAGCAGGUAAUGCUGGGGACUCAGGCGGAACUGCCGGUGACAAACCGGAGGAAGGUGGGGACGAGGUCAGGUCAUCAUGAUCCUUACGUCCUGGGCUACACACGUGCUACAAUGGUCGGUACAGAGCGUUGCGCGACGGCGACGUUUAGCAAAUCGCUGAAAGCCGGCCUUAGUUCGGAUUGGAGUCUGAAACUCGACUCCAUGAAGCUGGAAUCGCUAGUAAUCGCGCAUCANCACGGCGCGGUGAAUACGUUCCCGGGCCUUGUACACACCGCCCGUCAUACCACCCGAGUUGGGGGUACCCGAAGUCGCUAGCCAAACCGCAAGGAAGGCGGCGCCGAAGGUAUGCCCGGUAAGGGGGGUAAAGUCGUAACAAGGUAGCCGUACCGGAAGGUGUGGCUGGAUCA
This 439-nucleotide ribosomal RNA is filed under the name uncultured spirochete. Its description in RNAcentral is "bacterial SSU rRNA". It matches the Rfam family "Bacterial small subunit ribosomal RNA", at positions 1084 to 1525 of the family's 1533-position model. Lineage: Bacteria; Pseudomonadati; Spirochaetota; Spirochaetia; Spirochaetales. The record is from RNAcentral.